CCGAUGUGAGCGACGUCAGGUUUUUGAUAGACCAGUUUAAGUUUCACGAUGCAGAUAAGAUCGACGUGCAGUUUGUGAAAGAGUAUGCUCAUGCUGAUUUCAUCAUGGGUGUUACUGCCAAAGACGUUGUUUAUAACCAAGUUGCUACCUUUUUCAAACGACAAGUUUGAUUUUAGUAUAAAUCAUUAGGUUAUAUGUACUUUCAUGUGCCCCAGUAUUUUUAAAACCGGACCGGCUAGCAAACCGAAAUUUUUUGGGGUUAUGGGUCAUUGUGGUUCGACCGUAUCUGAACCGGGUUCGAUCGGAUUUACUUAGAUUAAACUAAAUUUAAUGAUAUUUUAUAAAUAAUAUGCAUUUUUUUUUAAAAAAAUUAGAUCAUAUCAAAAAAAUGUUUAAAUAGCCAUAAUGUGUAGAAAAUUUUAAAAAUAACAAUUAAAAUCUAAAAUCAAUAUGAAAAACACAUUUAAACUUUAUUACAGAUCUUAUCACUCUAAAUCUUCAUCACCUUUUAAAAAAAUUAUAUACGCAUUAGGUAAAAGUUAUAUUUUGAAAUACAAAUUUCAGAAACGUAAAUGUUUCAAUUAUUUAAAGUCUUCAAAACAAGUGAUCAUGAAAUAAAAAUUUAAACAAAAUGAGAAGUAGACAAAAAUAAUAUCUUGACUUGAAUAUUAAACUUUGUGAAUCUUGUAAUUUAUGAGUUGUAUAGACGACAAACGAAAAAGACGAGACACAGUAUGCUCAUGCUGAUUUCAUCAUGGGUGUUACUGCCAAAGACGUUGUUUAUAACCAAGUUGCUACCUUUUUCAAACGACAAGUUUGAUUUUAGUAUAAAUCAUUAGGUUAUAUGUACUUUCAUGUGCCCCAGUAUUUUUAAAACCGGACCGGCUAGCAAACCGAAAUUUUUUGGGGUUAUGGGUCAUUGUGGUUCGACCGUAUCUGAACCGGGU
Molecule: long non-coding RNA, 947 nt
Filed under: Brassica napus (rape)
Lineage: Eukaryota; Viridiplantae; Streptophyta; Magnoliopsida; Brassicales; Brassicaceae
Description: long non-coding RNA (BNAP_LNC023696)
Source: RNAcentral